CACGUAGGGGGCAAGCGUUGUCCGGAUUCAUUGGGCGUAAAGAGCUCGUAGGCGGCUCAGUAAGUCGGGUGUGAAACCCUCAGGCUCAACCUGGGGACGCCACUCGAUACUGCUGUGGCUAGAGUCCAGUAGAGGAGUGUGGAAUUCCCGGUGUAGCGGUGAAAUGCGCAGAUAUCGGGAGGAACACCAACGGCGAAGGCAGCACUCUGGGCUGGAACUGACGCUGAGGAGCGAAAGCGUGGGGAGCGAACAGG
This 254-nucleotide ribosomal RNA is filed under the name uncultured bacterium. Its description in RNAcentral is "partial 16S ribosomal RNA". It matches the Rfam family "Bacterial small subunit ribosomal RNA", at positions 524 to 776 of the family's 1533-position model. The record is from RNAcentral.